AGAAUGUGUGGCCUUGUUGAAGUAGGUGUGGCCUUGUUGACAGUAGUAUAUCAUUGAGGGGGUAGUCUUUCUGAAUUCUCAGCUCCUCCUACACCAACCAUGCCUGGACACUGCCAUGCUUCUGCCUUGAAGAUAGUAGAUUGAACCUCUGAAUCUGGAUUUUAAUAUAACAUCUGAGACUGAGAAGACAAGUUGAUGAAUACACACAAAUACUAAGGUGGGAGACUUGGCCUUGAGGUCAAGGGAACAGGGCACCUGUUUCUGCUAUUCACCUACCGGAGCAAUCUGGAGAAUGGGAUAUCCAACUUGCCUUGGGAUCACAGUAGAUCUAAUUGACCUUGCUGGCAGCAACACAGAGUGAAUGGGCUUAAGACCACACAUUGGUUGGACAUUGAGAGAUAAGGUUGAUAAAGAUUUCUAUAAACACACAACUCUGUUUUACUUGUGAAGAAAGGAUUUUUCAAGUCAGUAUUCAGUGCUUGUGUCAAGACCAGCAAGAUCUUCAAUAAAUUGUCAGAAAAUGGUUGUGAUAAAAGAUACACCAGACAUGACAAUAGUAUAUUAUGGCAACUGUGGGAUCAAGGACUAGGUGCAUCCUUUACCACUAAGAGCAUCAAAGUGGCCCAGUUGGUGUUUUAUAGAGCCUGUUGAUUCUCUGUAAUCUUCUACUUCUAUUUUUUAAUGGAUGGACCUAGAAAAGAUCGUAACAAGUGAGAAAGGAACCUAGCAUAACACCUCUGAGAUGAUCCAUCAAGCAACCAAUAGAAAGAGAUGCAGAGACCCACAGUCAAAUAUUCAAUGGAGCACAUGGAGUCUUAUGGAAGAGUUGGGAGAGGAUUGAUGGAUCUGAAGACGACAGAGGCUCCACAGGAAGACCAAGAGAGUCAACUAUCCUGGACCCUUGGGGACUCCAGAGACUGUGUCACCAACCAAAAUGAAAGCAGAGGUUGCACCUAGGCCUCUUUGCACAUAUGUAACAUAUGCACAGCUUGGUCUCCAUACUUGUCAUUAAUUCCUUUAUAUGACUUAAGAGUUGUAUGAGCUCAUACCAUCAGGGAAUGUUGUCCCUGCCAAAGUUAAUGACUUGUGGAUAAUCAGAAAAAGCAUGAUUCAGGAGAGUGAGUCUGUGUCUCUGUGAUGCUGAGAUUUAAGGUUAUGCAAAGAACUCUGAAAACAUGAGUUCUAGAAUAUAUAAAUCACUGUAAGAAUUGUUUAUUACAAGAUUUCUCAACUAUGCAAUUUAAAAGGUUGCAAAGUGAAUUGAAUGAGGGCCUUCAAAAACCUGAAGGGAAAGAGGCAGCUACACUAAUGAUUCAUCUUAGAAAGAUAUAAAGGAAACCAGGUGUGCAAGAUAUCUUAGUACAAUGGUGCCACGAAGCUUAUAGGGAUAAGCAUCGAAUAUCUGAGAGGAAUUAAUGCUCACUUAAUGAGGUGGAACCCACAUCCCACAGUAUGGGUUACUAAUCACCUGGGACUGGAUAGCCCAGAGACCUAGAAUAAAAUCAAAGUCUUCUGGUAUUCAAAAAUGAAAAGAAAAUCCAGCAAUAAAAUUAGUCCUAUUGAUAUCAUGUUAUACUUACAGUUCAGUGAAUUGCUUAACCAUUAUCAAAUAAGCUUUUUUCUACCCAGGUUACUUACAAAAGGAAGUUUCCUUCACCCUACCAUUCUAUCUUAUAAUCUUUCAAUGAAGGAAAAUUAAGACAAGAACUAAAAUCUAUAGUUGCAUAGCAUCUACAGUCAAAAACAGAAAUAAAGAAAUGAAAUCAUGUUGCCAACUAGAACUCUUCACUCAUAUGGUUCAAAGCCCAAAUUAUAAAAUUUUACCAACGAUCAUAGGCUAUGACUUAUUCCAUGAGCCAUCAUGGUAUAUUCCUACACAGACAUGCGGUUAGCCCAAUCAAUGGUAAUUAGAUAAUUCCUCAUUAAGACUUCCUAGGUGAUUCUAUUUUGUGCUAAGUUGACCAUUAAAAAUUAUCACACUAUUAUCAUUUGCUUCCCUGGUAAAACUGGUGAGAUACACUAGAGUCCACAGAUUUGAGUAAGCUCCUAACUGAUUGGAUGAGAAACAAUACUAUAGCAAACCUCACAGUUUAAAUUAAAUUAAUAUAUAAGUAAGGUGGGAUUUAGAUAUGAAAUAUUUAUAGAGUGAUGUACUUCUUUUUCAAAGUAAUUAGCCGCCUACCAAGAAGCCUUAUAAUUAUCAUGAUACAUUAAUAGUCACACUAAAGAAAUUACUACAUUAGUUUGGGUAUACGAGAAUAAUUCUCUUGAUCUUGCACAUCUACAUUAGUUAUUUUGAGUAUAAAAUAAAAAAAAAAUUACUAUUUCCUUGAUGAGUUAACCCUGUGUCCACUUAAUACAGCUACAAACAGACUUGCAUUCCAAGGAUCAAAAAACAAAACAAAACAACCAAACAAGCAAGCAAAAUCUUUUUUUUUUUUUUUUUUUGACAAAAUUUUCUGGAAAGGGUGGCCACGGUAGCAAUGGAUUCUGUGGUUUAUGUAUGGUUGAGUGAGAUAUUUACACUUCAAAUAGUUAUUUUGGAAUUCUGUUAAGCAUUAUUUUAGCCCCAAUACUUAAUUGAAGGAGAUCUCUGUUUAUCAGAACUCAGUACCUAUAACAUUUGAUAUGAAUUUAAGAACCAAUUAAAAUUUCUGAAUGAACUAAGAUUAUAGUAGCAUAUUUACAUACUAGCCAUAGAAUUAAUAGAUUUAUAUUUAGUUUCAGAGACUUAAAAUUAUGACCUCUAAUUGUCUUAUGAAUCUGUAGUAAUAUGAACAGUUAAAUAACAGUUAAAUGCUUUGAAAUCAAUUAUGGAUAAUUCUGCCUUGACCCCAAAUAGUUAUUAACAAAGAUGUGUGGUAUUUUUUCUUUGUAAUAUAAUCAUAUAGUUACACUUUGAGGUCAGUAGUAGAAUAAACCACACAAAUUCUACUAAAUAAAAUAUGAGACACUGUGUAAGACAGUAAAUCAUUUAGAACACAAAAGUCACAAAAGAUUCUAAACUAGAAAUAAUUUCAUUCAAUAUAAAAUUUUUAUGUGAACCCAGCUAUGUGCACUUUCUAUCCUGUGCAAUGCAAUGAAUUGCAUAAAGAAGUUUGUGUAUAAAAGUAAUAAAACUGUAGCCUUUUGAGGGGACAAUUAUUUAAGAAAAGCACAGCAACUUGAAAUAGGAGUGGUAAGUCAGACUUACCUUUGGUCUGCAUUUUUGCAACAAUGUAUACCAUGAAGAUAAUUAUUUAGAGAACUUUAUUUGUUAAGAAAGAUAACUGUUGCUUGUUAUUAAAACUGUUGCUUAU
This 3299-nucleotide long non-coding RNA is filed under the name Mus musculus (house mouse). RNAcentral describes it as "predicted gene 12374". The record is from RNAcentral. Lineage: Eukaryota; Metazoa; Chordata; Mammalia; Rodentia; Muridae.